AGUCUAGUGGACUAUGCAGAAAUAAUUGUGGAAUUCAUCAUUGUUAAAGCCUAUAUCGCUUUAUAUAAUCUGGACUGUUGUUUUUACUAAGGCUUAGCAAACAAGGGGCAGCAUACGCUUUUUGCCCAUUUCUAUAACAAGAGUUAGGCCUAUAUCCUCACAUACCCCCUCAAUUCAAGCCCUGCUUUUAACCAUAAGACAUCUCAAUGAUUGUGUCUGUUAAACAGGUGAACUUGUGGUAAACUGGGAACUCUGGGGAAAGGACAAGGACAACACUAAAAGGGCACUGAACCCACACGUGGCGCCUCCACAAUACACUGAACCCACACAUGGCGCCUGCAUGAUACAACAUUAGAACACAAGUUGUACUAAUCAUUAAGGUGGUUGUCAGCAUGACUUUCAACUGCACAAUAUGCAUGAAUUCAAAACGUUCUGCUGAGUUGACCCUAGAAAUGUAGCCUAGAUAGUAUCACUUCUUUAUUUCCCUUGUGAAACAGGUUUUACUACCAGCAAGUAAAUACACUUCUAUCCACAGUUCUGUGGGUAACACAUUCACCCAAAAGCACCUUUUUACUGAAUUACUGUUGACACAUAAUUUACAGUUGACAGUCUUUUAACAUCCCCCACAAAACACAUAGUUAUAGUAUACGACUAGAUACAAAUCAUCGAACUGAACAAAUAAAAGAGCAAUAGACUUUUAAAACGUCCUCCUCCCUAACAUUCCCUGUUAUACAACUGUACAUGUUGGUUUCACUCUAAGCUGUAGGUCAAGGUUUCCUUCCUCAUAAAACCCCUCUCUUCCUGUUUUCUAUCUCUGCAAUCAAUGGACAAAUGUAUCUACAAUUAAAAUAAUCUAACAACAAUACAACUGUUUGCAGUUUAGCAGUAUUAUUAGGAUGAAUUUGUCAGACUACUCAGACAGAUAGUAAACAGAAUGUAAAUCUAAGCCUGCAAGCAUUGGGUACUUUCAAUUCUCUGCCUGUUUCAUUAAAAACACUGCAGGGACUUUCCUAGUCAAACUGGAUGGGUGAAAACAAAUACCAUAAUGCUUUCCCCUGUCUCCUGUUCAGAUGAGUGACAAUGAAAGAAAGGAGAUAGAGGAAGCCCCUGUAGACUAUUGAGGUGCACCCCUACAGUAGGCUGUGGCUGCCUUGUUAUCAGUCCUGUAUUUCUCUCCCUCAGAAUUAGGAGACCAAGGAGCUGCUCUCACUUAUGACUCCACUGAUGAAGAAACAAAGCCGCUUGAUGACAUUGGAUCCUCCUCAAGAGGUCAAAGGGCAGACUGUAACCUCUCAGGCAGUAACAUCCCAGUCUGCUUCAGUGGCCCAGAAAUCAGGAGCAAACCCAGACUCAGAGCUGGAUAGUGAUGAUUCGCUCACCCCCUGCGAUAUCAGCUGAACAGGAAUGAGGCAAGCCGCCUCGUUACCCCGAGACUGUCUGGAGGCCUUCCUCUCCUCUGAGGACCCAGCGAGGGUGGAGCACAGUGAGACACUUCUACAGCCAGAGAGGUGAGAGGUCACAUGGUUUAGAUGGUAAAUAUUUAUAUCACGUAAGCAAAAGGGAAUAUGUUCCAUCAUCUAUGUUGAUUUACUUAUUUACUGAAUUUGUACCGUUUUUCAUUCUAAGAUGGACCAAGAUGUACGUAGCUUUUGCAGAUAUUUGUUCAUUAGUUUUGCAAGAGUGUUGAUUGGUCGAUCAUUGGGUUCAAUACUUUUGCAAUAUAUUGAUGCCAUUGAUUAAAAGAGUAAGAAUUUGAUGCAAUAUCCAACCCAAAAUAUA
This is a non-coding RNA of Salvelinus sp. IW2-2015, 1779 nucleotides long. NCBI's taxonomy places the organism in Eukaryota, Metazoa, Chordata, Actinopteri, Salmoniformes, Salmonidae. The record is from RefSeq and is a predicted model, not a curated record.